GCGCUGCAGCAAAUACAUUUUCACUUCAUUGGCGACACAAUGCUCAACUACGCUGAAUGCCAGCCGCCGUAAAACCAGAAUAUAAUAAGACGACACUAUGGCUUCGGGUUUAAUGAAGAGGAACAACAUUGCACUAUUAUGUAUCAUGUUUUAUUUUUAGAAAACCUGGUGAAAAUGAAGCUUCUCUUUGUUUCGGCCUUAUUAUUCUGGUGUAUCCUCGACCAUGGUGCAUCUGGUGUUGAUAUUGAUGGAGUGUCAGUGAUGGAGGGAGAUUCAGUCACUCUACACACCGAUGUUAAGACAAAGCAACAAGAGAAAAUUAGAUGGUAUUUUAAUGGCACUCCUAUCGCUCAAAUCAAUGGAGAUCAGAGUUAUAUCUGUACAGAUGUUUAGUGUAAUGAAGGGACUGAUAGAUUCAGAGACAGACUGAAGCUGGAUCAUCAGACUGGAUCUCUGACCAUCAUGAACAUCACAAACACGCACUCUGGAGUUUAUAAACUACUGAUAAGCACCAGCAGCUGGGACAGUGAAAAGAGCUUCAGUGUUACUGUCAUGGUGAGUCAUGUUUAAAAAUUACUCUUGUAUGUGCAAGUCACGUCAUUAAUAUGUUCUUAGUUAUCAUUUUUGCAGUGACAUUUAGAUGUGAUUUUAUUUUUAAUUCACAUACAGUAUAUAGACGAUUUCAUCAAAAACCACAUUACUGUUAAAGUGGAAUUUGCAGA
Molecule: long non-coding RNA, 722 nt
Organism: Cyprinus carpio (common carp)
Lineage: Eukaryota; Metazoa; Chordata; Actinopteri; Cypriniformes; Cyprinidae
Exons: 2
Source: RefSeq, a predicted model, not a curated record